RNAcentral lists this ribosomal RNA (255 nucleotides) under Clostridioides difficile. RNAcentral's name for it is "partial 23S ribosomal RNA". It matches the Rfam family "Bacterial large subunit ribosomal RNA", at positions 2262 to 2516 of the family's 2925-position model. Lineage: Bacteria; Bacillati; Bacillota; Clostridia; Peptostreptococcales; Peptostreptococcaceae. The record is from RNAcentral.
UGGGCAGUUUGACUAGGGCGGUCGCCUCCCAAAAGGUAACGGAGGCGCUAAAAGGUUCUCUCAGUACGGUCGGAAAUCGUACGUAGAGUAUAAAGGAAAAAGAGGGCUUGAUUGCAAGACAGACAGGGCGAGCAAGGAUGAAAAUCGGACUUAGUGAUCCGGUGGUUCUGCGUGGAAGGGCCAUCGCUCAACGGAUAAAAGCUACCCGGGGGAUAACAGGCUUAUCUCCCCCAAGAGUCCACAUCGACGGGGAGG